UACGGAGGGUGCAAGCGUUAAUCGGAAUUACUGGGCGUAAAGAGUGCGUAGGUGGUUGACUAAGUUAUCUGUGAAAUUCCUGGGCUCAACCUGGGACGGUCAGAUAAUACUGGUAGACUCGAGUAUGGGAGAGGGUAGUGGAAUUUCCGGUGUAGCGGUGAAAUGCGUAGAGAUCGGAAGGAACACCAGUGGCGAAGGCGGCUUUCUGGUCUGCUCUUGACGCUGAGGCGCGAAAGCUAGGGGAGCAAACAGG
RNAcentral lists this ribosomal RNA (253 nucleotides) under uncultured bacterium. Its description in RNAcentral is "partial 16S ribosomal RNA". It matches the Rfam family "Bacterial small subunit ribosomal RNA", at positions 524 to 776 of the family's 1533-position model. The record is from RNAcentral.